AGCUUGCUUCUUUGAUGACGAGUGGCGCACGGGUGCGUAACGCGUAUACAAUCUACCUCUUACAGGGGGAUAGCCUUUGGAAACGAAGAAUAAUACCCCAUAGUAUAUGGAUAUCGCAUGGUAACCAUAUUAAAGAUUUAUCGGUAAGAGAUGAGUAUGCGUCCUAUUAGCUAGAUGGUGUGGUAACGGCACACCAUGGCAACGAUAGGUAGGGGCCCUGAGAGGGGGAUCCCCCACACUGGUACUGAGACACGGACCAGACUCCUACGGGAGGCAGCAGUGAGGAAUAUUGGACAAUGGGCGCGAGCCUGAUCCAGCCAUGCCGCGUGCAGGAAGACUGCCCUAUGGGUUGUAAACUGCUUUUAUACGGGAAGAAACCCAUCUACGUGUAGAUGGCUGACGGUACCGUAAGAAUAAGGAUCGGCUAACUCCGUGCCAGCAGCCGCGGUAAUACGGAGGAUCCAAGCGUUAUCCGGAAUCAUUGGGUUUAAAGGGUCCGUAGGUGGACAAUUAAGUCAGAGGUGAAAUCCUGCAGCUUAACUGUAGAAUUGCCUUUGAUACUGGUUGUCUUGAAUUAUUGUGAAGUGGUUAGAAUAUGUAGUGUAGCGGUGAAAUGCAUAGAUAUUACAUAGAAUACCAAUUGCGAAGGCAGAUCACUAACAAUAUAUUGACACUGAUGGACGAAAGCGUGGGAGCGAACGGGAUUAGAUACCCCGGUAGUCCACGCCGUAAACGAUGGUCACUAGCUGUUCGGACUUCGGUCUGAGUGGCUAAGCGAAAGUGAUAAGUGACCCACCUGGGGAGUACGUUCGCAAGAAUGAAACUCAAAGGAAUUGACGGGGGCCCGCACAAGCGGUGGAGCAUGUGGUUUAAUUCGAUGAUACGCGAGGAACCUUACCAGGGCUUAAAUGUAGAUUGCAUUAGCUAG
This 928-nucleotide ribosomal RNA is filed under the name uncultured bacterium. RNAcentral's name for it is "bacterial SSU rRNA". It matches the Rfam family "Bacterial small subunit ribosomal RNA", at positions 77 to 1003 of the family's 1533-position model. The record is from RNAcentral.